GACAUAGGUCGCAAACGUUAUCCGGAAUUACUGGGCGUAAAGGGCGCGUAGGCGGGAUGGCAAGUCGGUCGUGAAAUCCCUCGGCUCAACCGAGGUGCGUCGAUCGAUACUGCCGUUCUUGAGGAUUGCAGAGGAGACUGGAAUUCCCGGUGUAGCGGUGAAAUGUGUAGAGAUCGGGAGGAACACCGGUGGCGAAGGCGGGUCUCUGGGCAAUUCCUGACGCUGAGGCGCGAAAGCGUGGGGAGCAAACGGG
This 253-nucleotide ribosomal RNA is filed under the name uncultured bacterium. RNAcentral describes it as "partial 16S ribosomal RNA". It matches the Rfam family "Bacterial small subunit ribosomal RNA", at positions 524 to 776 of the family's 1533-position model. The record is from RNAcentral.